RNAcentral lists this ribosomal RNA (844 nucleotides) under Gyalolechia fulgens. Its description in RNAcentral is "5.8S ribosomal RNA". The stretch from base 168 to 844 matches the Rfam family "Eukaryotic large subunit ribosomal RNA", at positions 1 to 690 of the family's 3401-position model. The record is from RNAcentral. Lineage: Eukaryota; Fungi; Ascomycota; Lecanoromycetes; Teloschistales; Teloschistaceae.
AAACUCUCAAGCGUGGCUUGGUAUUGGGUGCUCGCUCCUCCGGGUUUGGGGGAGCGCGCCCGAAAUUCAGUGGCGGUCUGGGGAGACUUCAAGCGCAGUUAAUACUCAUUCGCUUUCGGAGCUUUCGACCUGUGGCCCAGCCAGCAACAUGCCUUAAUUCUAAGAAUUGACCUCGGAUCAGGUAGGGAUACCCGCUGAACUUAAGCAUAUCAAUAAGCGGAGGAAAAGAAACCAACCGGGAUUGCCUCAGUAACGGCGAGUGAAGCGGCAACAGCUCAAAUUUGAAAUCUGACCCCGUCGGGGUUCGAGUUGUAAUUUGUAGAGGAUGUUUCGGGCGCGAAGCCGGUCUAAGUCCCUUGGAACGGGGCGUCGUAGAGGGUGAGAAUCCCGUAUGUGACCGGCGAUCAAGCCUCUGUGAAACUCCUUCGACGAGUCGAGUUGUUUGGGAAUGCAGCUCAAAAUGGGUGGUAAAUUUCAUCUAAAGCUAAAUAUUGGCCAGAGACCGAUAGCGCACAAGUAGAGUGAUCGAAAGAUGAAAAGCACUUUGGAAAGAGAGUCAAAAAGUACGUGAAAUUGUUGAAAGGGAAGCGCUUGCAACCAGACCUGCCCGCGGGCGAUCAGCCGUCCCUUCCGGGGGCGGUGCACGCGCCCGCGAUCAGGCCAGCAUCGGUUCGGGCGGCCGGAUAAAGGCCCGGGGAACGUAGCUCCUCUCGGGGAGUGUUAUAGCCCCGGGUGCAAUGCGACCCGCCUGGACCGAGGACCGCGCUUCGGCUAGGAUGCUGGCGUAAUGGUUGUAAGCGGCCCGUCUUGAAACACGGACCAAGGAGUCUAACAUCCAUGCGAG